GAUGAACGCUGGCGGCGUGCCUAAUACAUGCAAGUCGAGCGAACAGACGAGGAGCUUGCUCCUCUGACGUUAGCGGCGGACGGGUGAGUAACACGUGGAUAACCUACCUAUAAGACUGGGAUAACUUCGGGAAACCGGAGCUAAUACCGGAUAAUAUAUUGAACCGCAUGGUUCAAUAGUGAAAGACGGUUUUGCUGUCACUUAUAGAUGGAUCCGCGCCGCAUUAGCUAGUUGGUAAGUUAACGGCUUACCAAGGCAACGAUGCGUAGCCGACCUGAGAGGGUGAUCGGCCACACUGGAACUGAGCCAGGGUCCAGACUCCUACGGGAGGCAGCAGUAGGGAAUCUUCCGCAAUGGGCGAAAGCCUGACGGAGCAACGCCGCGUGAGUGAUGAAGGUCUUCGGAUCGUAAAACUCUGUUAUUAGGGAAGAACAAAUGUGUAAGUAACUAUGCACGUCUUGACGGUACCUAAUCAGAAAGCCACGGCUAACUACGUG
This 497-nucleotide ribosomal RNA is filed under the name uncultured bacterium. RNAcentral's name for it is "partial 16S ribosomal RNA". It matches the Rfam family "Bacterial small subunit ribosomal RNA", at positions 28 to 507 of the family's 1533-position model. The record is from RNAcentral.